Molecule: small nuclear RNA, 134 nt
Filed under: Echinops telfairi (small Madagascar hedgehog)
Lineage: Eukaryota; Metazoa; Chordata; Mammalia; Afrosoricida; Tenrecidae
Description: U4 spliceosomal RNA (ENSETEG00000024195.1)
Rfam family: U4 spliceosomal RNA (bases 1-75)
About the family: U4 small nuclear RNA (U4 snRNA) is a component of the major U2-dependent spliceosome. The structure of U4 snRNA from yeast and human has been reported. U4 snRNA presents a k-turn RNA motif in the 5p-SL related to recognition of Snu13 protein.
Source: RNAcentral
AGCUUUGUGCAGUGGCAAUAUUGUAGCCAGUGAGGUUUAUCCCCGGCGCGAUUAUUGCGGAUUGAAACUACUGAAGGAUUCCUUGUUCCUGUGCCUUGUAACACCCCUGUACUCAUUAGAAAUCUUACAAUCGA